AGUGAACGCUGGCGGUAGGCCUAACACAUGCAAGUCGAACGGCAGCACAGUAAGAGCUUGCUCUUACGGGUGGCGAGUGGCGGACGGGUGAGGAAUACAUCGGAAUCUACUUUUUCGUGGGGGAUAACGUAGGGAAACUUACGCUAAUACCGCAUACGAUCUACGGGUGAAAGCAGGGGAUCUUCGGACCUUGCGCGAUUGAAUGAGCCGAUGUCGGAUUAGCUAGUUGGCGGGGUAAAGGCCCACCAAGGCGACGAUCCGUAGCUGGUCUGAGAGGAUGAGCGGCCACAGUCGAAUGGAGACACGGUGCCGACAACGACGGGUGCGGGAAGAGGGGGUUGUUGGAGAGUGGGAACAGGCGGAAUCCUGCGGAACCGAGGGCGAGAAGGAGGUGUUCGACUUGUAGGUGUAUUUUGUUGGGCACGAAAAGCAGGACGUCCAUGCGUCAGUGUUGUGACGGUAGCCGAAGAAUAAGCACCGGCUAACUUCGUG
RNAcentral lists this ribosomal RNA (492 nucleotides) under uncultured bacterium. Its description in RNAcentral is "partial 16S ribosomal RNA". It matches the Rfam family "Bacterial small subunit ribosomal RNA", at positions 30 to 507 of the family's 1533-position model. The record is from RNAcentral.